UACGUAGGGUGCGAGCGUUAAUCGGAAUUACUGGGCGUAAAGCGUGCGCAGGCGGUUUUGUAAGCCAGAUGUGAAAUCCCCGGGCUUAACCUGGGAAUGGCAUUUGGGACUGCAAGGCUCGAGUGCGGCAGAGGAGACUGGAAUUCCUGGUGUAGCAGUGAAAUGCGUAGAUAUCAGGAGGAACACCUGCGGUGUAGACGGCUUUCUGGACCAUUACUGACACUGAGACACGAAAGCGUGGGUAGCAAACAGG
Molecule: ribosomal RNA, 253 nt
Filed under: uncultured bacterium
Lineage: Bacteria
Description: partial 16S ribosomal RNA
Rfam family: Bacterial small subunit ribosomal RNA
Source: RNAcentral